GAUGGACGCUGACCGAAUGCUUAACACAUGCAAGUCAACUUGAAUUUGGGUUUUUACCUUAGGUUUGGGUGGCGGACGGGUGAGUAACGCGUAAAGAACUUGCCUCACAGCUAGGGACAACAUUUGGAAACGAAUGCUAAUACCUAAUAUUAUGAUAAUAGGGCAUCCUAUAAUUAUGAAAGCUAUAAGCGCUGUGAGAGAGCUUUGCGUCCCAUUAGCUAGUUGGAGAGGUAACGGCUCACCAAGGCGAUGAUGGGUAGCCGGCCUGAGAGGGUGAUCGGCCACAAGGGGACGGAGACACGGCCCUUACUCCUACGGGAGGCAGCAGUGGGGAAUAUUGGACAAUGGACCGAGAGUCUGAUCCAGCAAUUCUGUGUGCACGAUGAAGUUUUUCGGAAUGUAAAGUGCUUUCAGUUGGGAAGAAACAAAUGACGGUACCAACAGAAGAAGUGACGGCUAAAUACGUG
RNAcentral lists this ribosomal RNA (467 nucleotides) under uncultured bacterium. RNAcentral describes it as "partial 16S ribosomal RNA". It matches the Rfam family "Bacterial small subunit ribosomal RNA", at positions 28 to 507 of the family's 1533-position model. The record is from RNAcentral.